GAUGAACGCUAGCGGCAGGCUUAACACAUGCAAGUCGAGGGGUAGAAGGAGCUUGCUCCUUUGAGACCGGCGCACGGGUGCGUAACGCGUAUGCAAUCUACCUUUUGCAGAGGGAUAGCCCAGAGAAAUUUGGAUUAAUACCUCAUAGUAUGUGAGGAUGGCAUCAUUUUCACAUUAAAGUCACAACGGCAAAAGAUGAGCAUGCGUCCCCAUUAGCUAGUUGGUAAGGUAACGGCUUACCAAGGCUACGAUGGGUAGGGGUCCUGAGAGGGAGAUCCCCCACACUGGUACUGAGACACGGACCAGACUCUACGGGAGGCAGCAGUGAGGAAUAUUGGACAAUGGCGCAAGCCUGAU
RNAcentral lists this ribosomal RNA (357 nucleotides) under uncultured bacterium. Its description in RNAcentral is "bacterial SSU rRNA". It matches the Rfam family "Bacterial small subunit ribosomal RNA", at positions 28 to 387 of the family's 1533-position model. The record is from RNAcentral.